RNAcentral lists this long non-coding RNA (669 nucleotides) under Mytilus galloprovincialis (Mediterranean mussel). Lineage: Eukaryota; Metazoa; Mollusca; Bivalvia; Mytilida; Mytilidae. The record is from RNAcentral.
UGCCUUUAAACUAGAUAUAUAUGUACAUCAUUGUAUAUAUUUUUGAUUAACAGUGUUUCUGGAUUCUUUAGCUAAGUUCUAUUGCAUUCUUAGCAAAGGGUCCUUCUCAAAAGUCUACCUAUUCAAAAGUCUUGUUUUCGCUUGAUGCUCUUUUAAUUUUUUAUAAAUACGCUAUGAAAGGCAUUUUUUUUAGUAACGUGUUGCAGGGGAAAUAGAAAUACCUAGCGUCUGUUAGUCCUUUCUUUGCCGGUCUCAGUGAGUAUCCGGCUUUUGUUAUCGCUCCCACGUGUACAACUUUUGCAAUUUUUUUUUAUAAAACUAUUCUAUUAUUCUAUAAAUAGGUUAUAAUAGGUUAAUAUCAGCAACAUCUAUGACAAGUUCUAAAAAGGUUGACGUAUUUAAAAGAGUUAUGCCCCUAAGAAGUAUUAUUUUUUUUAGAAAAUGUCCUGUGAGCUGAACAUAUACAUGUAUCUCUGGGUUUUUUUGUUGCUGUCCUUGAGUAUAAAAGUUUCAAAGAAACAAAGUUUCAGUUUGACUUGAGAGUUGAGAAACUAUGAUAAUUGCAAAAGACAAGCAAAAAUUCUGAAUCACUGAAUAUAGACCAUCAAACAGAGCUGCCCCUUCUGCCAAAACAAAUCUCAAUUUUUCGGAAAACAUUUGAAAUACUCU